AUUCUCCUAGGGUACGCGUCACUCCACGGCGUGGAAUUCCCAAUUGUUCGACUCAAGCGCGCAUAGUAUUCGGAUUUCCGCUCCAUGUUAUUAGUGUGGCAGUAAAAGCUGUAGUGACUCGCAGCUCCAGAUAUGCUCCGUCAGUCGUUCGUGUCAUCGUCGCAAACUUGUUCGUCUGAGUGUCGCAGGGAGUAGACAUUUUACUUUGAAAAAAUUAGAGUGUUUCAAGCAGGCUUUCGCCAGAAUACUUUAGCAUGGAAUAAUGGAAUAGGACUCUUGUCCAUUUGGUUGGUUAUUGGACCGGAGUGAUGAUUAAUAGGGACAGUUGGGGGCAUUAGUAUUUAAUUGUCAGAGGUGAAAUUCAUGGAUUUAUUAAAGACUAACUUAUGCGAAAGCAUUUGCCAAGGAUGUUUUCAUUAAUCAAGAACGAAAGUUAGGGGAUCAAAGACGAUCAGAUACCGUCCUAGUCUUAACUAUAAACGAUGUCGACUCGGGAUUGGAAAGGUAACAUUUAUCCUUUCCAGCACCGUAUGAGAAAUCAUUAAGUCUUUGGAUUCUGGGGGGAGUAUGGUCGCAAGGCUGAAACUUAAAGGAAUUGACGGAAGAGCACCACCAGGCGUGGGACCUGCGGCUUAAUUUGACCCAACACGGGAAAACUUAUUUCAGCAAAACAUGAGUGGGAUUGACAGAUUGAGAGCUCUUUCUUGAUUUUAUGGGGUGUGGUGCAUGGCCGUUCUUAGUUGGUGGAGUGAUUUGUCUGGUUAAUUCCGUUAACGAACGAGACCUUGACCUGCUAAAAUAGUCAAUAUGUGAACAACAUAUUGUACUUCUUAGAGGGACUAUGGGUUACAAGCCCAUGGAAGUUUGAGGCAAUAACAGGUCUGUGAUGCCCAUAGAUGUUGAAAGCGGCACGCGCGUCAUACUGUCCUGUAACAGCAAGUUUAUUCCUCUCUUGGCAAAGUAGGGGUAAUCUAUAAAACAGGACGUGGUAGGGAUAGAUCUUUGGAAUUAUAGAUCUUGAACGAAGAAUGCCUAGUAAGUGCAAGUCAUCAACUUGUGCUGAUUACGUCCCUGUCCUUUGUACACACCGCCCGUCGCUCCUACCGAUUUCGAGCGAUAUGGUGAAUCUCCUAGACCGUGGGGCUCCCUGAGGGCUUCGUGGAAAGUUUAGUAAACCUUAUCGCUUAGAGGAAGGAGAAGUCGUAACAAGGUAGCCGU
Molecule: ribosomal RNA, 1218 nt
Filed under: uncultured marine eukaryote
Lineage: Eukaryota
Description: SSU rRNA
Rfam family: Eukaryotic small subunit ribosomal RNA
Source: RNAcentral